Non-coding RNA from Malus domestica (apple), 1322 nucleotides. NCBI's taxonomy places the organism in Eukaryota, Viridiplantae, Streptophyta, Magnoliopsida, Rosales, Rosaceae. The record is from RefSeq and is a predicted model, not a curated record.
UUAAGAGUUUGUAAGGAUUCUUUGUUAUGAUUUGAGAAAGUUGCUUAGUAGCCUCUAUGUAUGUUUGUGUUAUGUCAGUUGCUCUUCAUCGGUGUUUUUAUUGUUUUGGAUAUUGGUAUGGUUUUGCUUUUUUUUUGGUAAAGUUGAAUUCAGUGAGGGCCAAUUUGUUAAGUUCUGCAAGUUUGGAUAGUGAGACACCACACUAUUUUGGAGACACCUAAUGCGGAACAUUUGUGUGGAACCCUCUUGUAGAAGGCAAGUUAUAUGCUUUCUAACUUUGGUCUAUGGACAUUUGGUUGGAUUUGUUUGCCACUGCUAUUUGGUUUGUUGGUCUCCAUCAUCUGCAAUUAGUUUUCUUGAAGACUCUAGUUGAGGUAUGGUUUUGGAUCUCCUGCUGAUUAUUUGAAUUUGAAAUUUUGGUUGUCCUGUUGGUGCUCAUGUGAUGAUGGUAAACUUGAGUGAAGGGCAUAUUUUUGUAUGUGGUAUGUGAGACCUUGUUGCCAAAUUUGUAAUCAGUUUUGACUUGGAGAAUGUGCCAUGCUAUGUGAAUGAGUCUAUUGGUGCAGUUUAAGACCAUGGUGUUUGUGAGCAGGUGGAGUUCGUUGUGUGUCCAACUUUGGCACUUAUGGUUUGCAAAUUUGGAGAAGACGGUAAAGAAAUGGUCUACUUUUGUUGGCUUUGGUACAAUUUGAGUCGAGGUGGAAAUUGUUAUGAGCACUGGUAAGUUUGGGGAAUUUGAUUUAGUUUCCGUUGUCUUUAGUUUGUACUUUGGGUGCUUAUGGUGAUUGUUGAUUCGAUUCUCUGUGAUGCUUUCGGAACUUGGUCAAGGUGGAGAUUGUUGGAUUUGUGACCAAAUGGACAACAAGCCAAAAUACCUUUCAGCUAAUAAAAUAGAAUAAGGAAAAGGGGGACAUCAUUAUGAUGUCUAGCCCUUGAUUUGUGGCUUUUACAAAGGCAAAGAAUAUGUGGCCUUUUGUUUAUAUUAAGACAUUUGGUUAUGCCUUUAAAAAGGAGAGAGUUGGGAACGGCAGAUUUGAGAGAAGAAAGAGAAGGGUUGCUGUUAUCUAUCCUUCCCAUUUGUUUGUAAUCCCCUUUUGUUAGUAAUCACUCAAUCAAAGAUAUUUGUGCUACAUUUUGUGGCUUUUGGGAGAGAAGGAAUUUGGUAUAUGUUUCCAUCUUCUCCAUUUGUUCUUUGUGAGAGUGAGAGCUAUUGGGUGUAUGUGGGAUUUGGGUUUGAGAGUUAAAACUCUAUUUGUAAUCUCCAUUUUGAUAUUAGUGGAAUUUCCUCGCCGUCCCGGAACUGGACGUAGGCUUAUGCCGAA